RNAcentral lists this ribosomal RNA (478 nucleotides) under uncultured Oxalobacteraceae bacterium. RNAcentral's name for it is "bacterial SSU rRNA". It matches the Rfam family "Bacterial small subunit ribosomal RNA", at positions 8 to 481 of the family's 1533-position model. Lineage: Bacteria; Pseudomonadati; Pseudomonadota; Betaproteobacteria; Burkholderiales; Oxalobacteraceae. The record is from RNAcentral.
AGAGUUUGAUCCUGGCUCAGAUUGAACGCUCGCGCCAUGCCUUACACAUGCAAGUCGAACGGCAGCACGGACUUCGGUCUGGUGGCGAGUGGCGAACGGGUGAGUAAUAUAUCGGAACGUGCCCUGGAGUGGGGGAUAACUAGUCGAAAGAUUAGCUAAUACCGCAUACGAUCUAUGGAUGAAAGUGGGGGAUCGCAAGACCUCAUGCUCGUGGAGCGGCCGAUAUCUGAUUAGCUAGUUGGUGGGGUAAAAGCCUACCAAGGCAUCGAUCAGUAGCUGGUCUGAGAGGACGACCAGCCACACUGGGACUGAGACACGGCCCAGACUCCUACGGGAGGCAGCAGUGGGGAAUUUUGGACAAUGGGGGCAACCCUGAUCCAGCAAUGCCGCGUGAGUGAAGAAGGCCUUCGGGUUGUAAAGCUCUUUUGUCAGGGAAGAAACGGUCCGGGCUAAUAUCCUGGGCUAAUGACGGUACCUG